GUCCCUGUAGCUCAAUGGAUACAGCAUUGGACUUCUAAUCUAAAGAUAGUGGGUUCGAAUCCCACCUGGGAUG
Molecule: non-coding RNA, 73 nt
Organism: Trichonephila clavata
Lineage: Eukaryota; Metazoa; Arthropoda; Arachnida; Araneae; Nephilidae
Source: the annotation of a GenBank genome assembly